Molecule: ribosomal RNA, 878 nt
Filed under: uncultured Arcobacter sp.
Lineage: Bacteria; Pseudomonadati; Campylobacterota; Epsilonproteobacteria; Campylobacterales; Arcobacteraceae
Description: bacterial SSU rRNA
Rfam family: Bacterial small subunit ribosomal RNA
Source: RNAcentral
AACUGCNUUGAAAACUGAUUAUCUAGAAUAUGGGAGAGGUAGAUGGAAUUUCUGGUGUAGGGGUAAAAUCCGUAGAGAUCAGAAGGAAUACCGAUUGCGAAGGCGAUCUACUGGAACAUUAUUGACGCUGAGACGCGAAAGCGUGGGGAGCAAACAGGAUUAGAUACCCUGGUAGUCCACGCCCUAAACGAUGUACACUAGUUGUUGUGAGGCUAGACCUUGCAGUAAUGCAGUUAACACAUUAAGUGUACCGCCUGGGGAGUACGGUCGCAAGAUUAAAACUCAAAGGAAUAGACGGGGACCCGCACAAGCGGUGGAGCAUGUGGUUUAAUUCGACGAUACGCGAAGAACCUUACCUGGACUUGACAUAGAAAGAAUAACGCAGAGAUGUGAUAGUGCUUGCUUGCAAGAACUUUCAUACAGGUGCUGCACGGCUGUCGUCAGCUCGUGUCGUGAGAUGUUGGGUUAAGUCCCGCAACGAGCGCAACCCUCGUCGUUAGUUGCUAACAGUUCGGCUGAGAACUCUAACGAGACUGCCUGGGUAACCAGGAGGAAGGUGAGGACGACGUCAAGUCAUCAUGGCCCUUACGUCCAGGGCUACACACGUGCUACAAUGGGGCAUACAAAGAGCCGCGAUACCGUGAGGUGGAGCAAAUCUCAAAAAUGCCUCCCAGUUCGGAUAGUAGUCUGCAACUCGACUACUUGAAGUUGGAAUCGCUAGUAAUCGUAGAUCAGCAAUGCUACGGUGAAUACGUUCCCGGGUCUUGUACUCACCGCCCGUCACACCAUGGGAGUUGAACUCAUUCGAAGCGGGGAUGCUAAAGUAGCUACCCUCCACAGUGGAUUCAGCGACUGGGGUGAAGUCGUAACCAAGGUAA